UCAGCAGGCAACACAGAACUAUC
RNAcentral lists this non-coding RNA (23 nucleotides) under Cricetulus griseus (Chinese hamster). The record is from RNAcentral. Lineage: Eukaryota; Metazoa; Chordata; Mammalia; Rodentia; Cricetidae.